Molecule: ribosomal RNA, 422 nt
Filed under: uncultured prokaryote
Description: bacterial SSU rRNA
Rfam family: Bacterial small subunit ribosomal RNA
Source: RNAcentral
UGAGGAAUAUUGGUCAAUGGGCGCAAGCCUGAACCAGCCAUCCCGCGUGCAGGAAGACGGCCCUAUGGGUUGUAAACUGCUUUUCCAGGGGGAGAAUUUUUCUGUCGUGACAGGACUUGACGGUACCCUGGGAAUAAGCAUCGGCUAACUCCGUGCCAGCAGCCGCGGUAAUACGGAGGAUGCAAGCGUUAUCCGGAUUUAUUGGGUUUAAAGGGUGCGUAGGCGGAUAGAUAAGUCAGUGGUGAAAACCUGCAGCUUAACUGUAGACUGGCCGUUGAUACUGUCAGUCUUGAGUAUGGAGAAGGUAGGCGGAAUGUGUAAUGUAGCGGUGAAAUGCUUAGAUAUUACACAGAACACCGAUUGCGAAGGCAGCUUGCUGGGCCAGUACUGACGCUGAUGCACGAAAGCGUGGGGAUCGAACA